ACAUGCUUACAACAUAACGUUAAUGCAUCAGAUUCCAUUAAAACUUCAUAUUUAAGCACACUCGAGUUAGAGUAGUAUUGGGAUGGGUGACCGCCAGAGAAUUCCUAAUGUUUUACAUGUC
Molecule: non-coding RNA, 121 nt
Organism: Picea glauca (white spruce)
Lineage: Eukaryota; Viridiplantae; Streptophyta; Pinopsida; Pinales; Pinaceae
Source: Rfam